Long non-coding RNA from Xiphophorus couchianus (Monterrey platyfish), 481 nucleotides. RefSeq lists it as uncharacterized. The transcript has 3 exons. The record is from RefSeq and is a predicted model, not a curated record. NCBI's taxonomy places the organism in Eukaryota, Metazoa, Chordata, Actinopteri, Cyprinodontiformes, Poeciliidae.
CUGAAGUACAUGUCAUGUUCUUGCACAGCUGGGAAAGCCCUGUGCAAUCACAUGGUGGGUCUUCUGUUUCAAACUGCUCACUACAGUACAAUGGGCUACAAGACCGUACCAUUGCCUCUGUCGUGCACCAGUUCACUGCAGACCUGGCACCGUCCAAGGACAAAGGGAGUUGCACCAGAGGCUACAAAUGAUAUGACAGUGUGUAAACCUGUGGCAAGGGAAAAAACCAGGAUUAGGACUAGCGUGAAGUGCACACUGUACAGAGCGUAUGCAGGUCCUCUUCCAGAUCCUCAUAUUGAAGCCAGCGGGGAGAAACUAAAAGAAAUCCGUCCACAACCAGGAAUAUGCAAGUUGCUUUAUGGACUGCAAAACCUUACUUUAGUGGACUCUAAAUUUGGUCCUGUGCCAUUUGGUUCUGUGCUCUCAUAUCAGUGUCCUCCUGAAAUGAGCAGAGACAUAAUCAAACAUCCAGAUGCCCCUG